AAGUUGAUGACAUGUUUUAUGAUUCAGAACCGUCAUUUCAGUCUGAUAUCAGUAUGUGAACUGCCAGGCUGCAGUGCUGUUCCCUGAGUUUUAAAAAAAAGAAAACGAUUUCAAAAAAGUGAAUUAUAUCAGGUCAACAAAGAAACUGAUAGAAGCAGCAAGCAAUAUUCAUAUGACUGCUUUAGUUUUAGCUCGACGUAUUGGUCUGUAGUGUUCCUAUAUUCAAACUCAUACCAAACAUGGAAGAGUA
Molecule: long non-coding RNA, 250 nt
Filed under: Bos taurus (domestic cattle)
Lineage: Eukaryota; Metazoa; Chordata; Mammalia; Artiodactyla; Bovidae
Description: long non-coding RNA NONBTAT010815
Source: RNAcentral